RNAcentral lists this ribosomal RNA (405 nucleotides) under uncultured bacterium. RNAcentral's name for it is "bacterial SSU rRNA". It matches the Rfam family "Bacterial small subunit ribosomal RNA", at positions 355 to 774 of the family's 1533-position model. The record is from RNAcentral.
UGGGGAAUAUUGGGCAAUGGGCGCAAGCCUGACCCAGCAACGCCGCGUGAAGGAAGAAGGCUUUCGGGUUGUAAACUUCUUUUCUCAGGGACGAAGGAAGUGACGGUACCUGAGGAAUAAGCCACGGCUAACUACGUGCCAGCAGCCGCGGUAAUACGUAGGUGGCGAGCGUUAUCCGGAUUUACUGGGUGUAAAGGGCGUGUAGGCGGGAUUGCAAGUCAGACGUGAAAACUAUGGGCUCAACCCAUAGCCUGCGUUUGAAACUGUAGUUCUUGAGUGCUGGAGAGGCAAUCGGAAUUCCGUGUGUAGCGGUGAAAUGCGUAGAUAUACGGAGGAACACCAGUGGCGAAGGCGGAUUGCUGGACAGUAACUGACGCUGAGGCGCGAAAGCGUGGGGAGCAAACA